GAUGAACGGCUAGCGGCAGGCCUAACACAUGCAAGGUCGAGGGGCAGCACAGGUAGCAAUACUGGGUGGCGACCGGCGGAUGGGUGCGUAACGCGUAUGCAACCUACCAUUGAUUGGGGCAUAGCCCGAAGAAAUUCGGAUUAAUACUCCAUAAUAUUCAUCAAAGGCAUCUUUUAUGAAUUAAAGCUUUUGCGAUCAAUGAUGGGCAUGCGCGACAUUAGUUAGUUGGUGAGGUAACGGCUCACCAAAACGAUGAUGUCUAGGGGUUCUGAGAGGAUUAUCCCCCACACUGGUACUGAGACACGGACCAGACUCCUACGGGAGGCAGCAGUGAGGAAUAUUGGUCAAUGGACGCAAGUCUGAACCAGCCAUGCCGCGUGCAGGAUGACGGCCCUACGGGUUGUAAACUGCUUUUCCCCGGGGCGAAUAACCCCCUCGCGAGGGGGGAUGCCGGUACCGGGGGAAUAAGGAUCGGCUAACUCCGUG
Molecule: ribosomal RNA, 486 nt
Filed under: uncultured bacterium
Lineage: Bacteria
Description: bacterial SSU rRNA
Rfam family: Bacterial small subunit ribosomal RNA
Source: RNAcentral